GAUGAACGCUGGCGGCGUGCCUAAUACAUGCAAGUCGAGCGAACGGACGAGAAGCUUGCUUCUCGGAUGUUAGCGGCGGACGGGUGAGUAACACGUGUAUAACCUACCUAUAAGACUGGGAUAACUUCGGGAAACCGGAGCUAAUACCGGAUAAUAUUCUGAACCGCAUGGUUCAAAAGUGAAAGACGGUCUUGCUGUCACUUAUAGAUGGAUCCGCGCUGCAUUAGAUAGUUGGUAAGGUAACGGCUUACCAAGGCAACGAUGCAUAGCCGACCUGAGAGGGGGAUCGGCCACACUGGAAGUGGACCACGGUCCAGACUCCUACGGGAGGCAGCAGUAGGGAAUCUUCCGCAAUGGGCGAAAGCCUGACGGAGCAACGGCGCGUGAGUGAUGAAGGUCUUCGGAUCGUAAAACUCUGUUAUUAGGGAAGAACAUAUGUGUAAGUAACUGUGCACAUCUUGACGGUACCUAAUCAGAAAGCAACGGCUAACUACGUG
RNAcentral lists this ribosomal RNA (497 nucleotides) under uncultured bacterium. Its description in RNAcentral is "partial 16S ribosomal RNA". It matches the Rfam family "Bacterial small subunit ribosomal RNA", at positions 28 to 507 of the family's 1533-position model. The record is from RNAcentral.